Molecule: long non-coding RNA, 374 nt
Filed under: Theobroma cacao (cacao)
Lineage: Eukaryota; Viridiplantae; Streptophyta; Magnoliopsida; Malvales; Malvaceae
Description: long non-coding RNA (TCAC_LNC002171)
Source: RNAcentral
GUGUUACCCAAUUGAAGUUCCAGCGCAGCAAGCGAUCUGUUGCAGAGGAGCGUGCUGGUCGAAAAUUGGGAGGUCUCAGGGUUGUGAAUUCAUACUGGAUCAAUGAGGUUUGUACGACCUGCAAAAAGUUCUGGUUUGCUACCUUAGUAUGUAUUUGGUUGUCCCGAUUCCUUAAUUAACACUCAUUUAUGUUGUUGCAUUUCGUUCUGUAGGAUUCUACUUACAAGUACUUUGAGGUUAUCCUGGUUGAUGUUGCACACAAUGCUAUCCGCAAUGAUCCAAGGAUUAACUGGAUCUGCAAUCCUGUCCACAAGCACAGGGAGCUUCGAGGGCUCACAUCUGCUGGUAAGAAAAACAGGGGUCUGCACGGAAAG